This is a long non-coding RNA of Passer domesticus (house sparrow), 1047 nucleotides long. RefSeq lists it as uncharacterized. Lineage: Eukaryota; Metazoa; Chordata; Aves; Passeriformes; Passeridae. The transcript is spliced from 2 exons. The record is from RefSeq and is a predicted model, not a curated record.
UCAGGGACACCUGGGUGUGGAAUGUUGUGAUCAGGGGACACUUCAGGAGUCUUUGAUGCCUUCUAAUUUCAUACAGCUGCCCAUCACAUGAGUGCAGCUGGGCCCAUCACGGCCCAUCAUGGCCCCUCAGCAGAGUGAACACCUUCAGGCCACCUGUGAAUGCCCCAGGAAUUCCAGAGCAGGGGAGCUACCACAGCUGAGUUCUCUGACAAGGACAAGCAGACAAUUCCUGCCUCACAGGGUUCCCCUCUUUCCUUAUCUCAUCCAUCACCAGUUGCAGCCUGAGCUGGGCUGUGCUCACCCUCGGUACUCUGCACAGCAGCAGCUUCCCUCUGGUUGUUUGAGCCAUCAGCAUCCCAGUCUCUCUUCCAGGAUCAUUUCUGGAUACAUUUUUUCUCCCCACACCUGGGAUUGGACAGUAAUAUCCCCUUUAUAAGUCCCAAAUUCCAGUCAGGAGGCAUAUUUGGGGAAGGGUGGCUUUGAUGGUCACAGCUGUUUCUUUGCAGUUUGCUUUACAGCAGGCAAAACUCCUCUGAUAAUUUUAGCCAUGAAAACAUCAACCAUUCAGUGUCUCACAGGAGAUGGUGCUUAAUUGCUAAAUGUUCCUUCCAAAGGGAUAACACUCCUGUUCCUCAGCAAAUCCAGGAGCCAGUGGAGAGGAACCAGGCGUGGACUCAGCUCUCUCCUGUCUCCUGCUCAGACAGUGCCCACAAAAGCAUGAACUCUCCAGUGCAAAGACCAUUUGCAUUUGGGACUGACGAGUGGCAGCUUUCCCAACUGAGUGAUAAUAUUUUAAUGGAAGGAAGGCAGAAGAAUAAUCCAAUCAGGAGAAUGUGGCGGUUUGGCUGACAAACAGGAAUAGCUGGGGGCCACAGGAGCAUGAGGAGGUUGCUGCUGAACCAAUGACUUUUGGGCAUGGAUUAACUCAGGGACUUGAGGAAAAGGACUGGAGAAGCCAAACAAUGAUCCUGAGAUGUGACCCCCAUCCCCUGAAGAUCCCCUUCUUUGAUGUAUUUCAAAACUGGUAAUAAAUAUUUAUAACAUGGA